ACAAUAUAUAAAUACCAAAAAACAUACUUCGAAUCCUGCAAUUCGAAAUUUAUUAUAGAAUGAUCUACCCCAUCUGUGUUGGCCCAAUUCUCUCAUAUUCUCCAACGCUGACAACGAUUCCUAUCAAUUCUAUAGGAAAAAUAUUAAUUAUAGUAGUCGAAUUCACAAAAACAAAGAAGCAGAUAAAGUAAAUAAAAACUUUGGGUUGUAUUCUUCUUUUAAAAUUGCAUCAAAACAGGAAUCAAAAAUUCUAAAAUGAUUAUCAGGCGGAGGAGCAAAGGAAUUGACCUCCGUUGUUGGCAAGAAGAUUAUCACAAACUUCAUAUCCGUUGUUCUUCUAUAGUCUGACGAAAUCUGUAGCUUAAAAGUGUGAAUUUUUUUCCAGUUACCUUCCCUCAGCUCACCAUCAAACUGGGAAAUAAGGUGUGAUGGAAUCCUUGUUUCGUCUCGUCUCGGAUGUAUUAUCCAUCACUUUGACAUGUAACAUGUAACUUGUACCU
Molecule: long non-coding RNA, 500 nt
Filed under: Arabidopsis lyrata
Lineage: Eukaryota; Viridiplantae; Streptophyta; Magnoliopsida; Brassicales; Brassicaceae
Description: long non-coding RNA (ALYR_LNC003216)
Source: RNAcentral